AACGAACGCUGGCGGCAUGCCUAACACAUGCAAGUCGAACGGGAUCCUGGCUUCGGCCAGGUGAGAGUGGCGGACGGGUGAGUAACGCGUGGGAACCUGCCCAUUGGUCUGGGAUAACUGCGGGAAACUGCAGCUAAUACCGGAUGUACCCGAGAGGGGAAAGAUUUAUCGCCGAUGGAGGGGCCCGCGUCAGAUUAGGUAGUUGGUGAGGUAACGGCUCACCAAGCCUACGAUCUGUAGCUGGUCUGAGAGGAUGAUCAGCCACACUGGGACUGAGAUACGGCCCAGACUCCUACGGGAGGCAGCAGUGGGGAAUAUUGGACAAUGGGGGCAACCCUGAUCCAGCAAUGCCGCGUGAGUGAUGAAGGCCUUAGGGUUGUAGAGCUCUUUUACCAGGGACGAUGAUGACGGUACCUGGAGAAUAAGCCCCGGCUAACUUCGUGCCAGCAGCCGCGGUAAU
Molecule: ribosomal RNA, 460 nt
Filed under: uncultured bacterium
Lineage: Bacteria
Description: bacterial SSU rRNA
Rfam family: Bacterial small subunit ribosomal RNA
Source: RNAcentral